Molecule: long non-coding RNA, 684 nt
Organism: Helianthus annuus (common sunflower)
Lineage: Eukaryota; Viridiplantae; Streptophyta; Magnoliopsida; Asterales; Asteraceae
Exons: 3
Source: RefSeq, a predicted model, not a curated record
ACAUAAAGACACUCUGUUAUCUCUCUAAACACCACAUCACCACCACCAUCACCACCACUGCACAACCACCACACCACCACAACCACCGCACCAAAAAGCAUUUCAAAAAUCACCACACCAACACCACCAUCACACCGGAACAACCACCGCACCAAAAACGCACCAAAAACAAUUUCAAUACCCUAACCCUAAGAGAGAUAUGCAAUCAACAAGCAGAGCAGAGGCGGAGUGGUUACUUCUUACUCGGAAUCGUUGGAAAACUCCUACAAUCCAAAGAAACCGAGCUUUUAAUCGACGGUUCUGAUCCGAUCUUAGCCGUCGUCGACGUCCUCGCCGCCGAGAAACAGAUCCACAAUCAACUGGAUUGUUGUUGUUGCUACCCCAAAGGCCAAAAGGGUCUUCCACGGCCCACAUAAUACAAGAAGAAAAAUGAAGACAUUAUUGACUGACUUCAAGCUAUAUUUGGGUUUCAGGAAGAUAACAUGGCAAAUCAGCAGGAGCAUCUUAUUUUGUUGCUUUCAAAUGUUUAAAUUUGGAAAAUUCCGCAACCUGGUUAACAAUAACAACCAAGUUCAGUGAGCCAAUCACAUAUGAAUAAAUUCAUCAAGCAGUAGAUUUCCACGUUAGCUAGUAUUGCACUUUGUCACACCUUUAAGAUAUAUUUUAAACGCCUUUUUUCUCGUG